Nothobranchius furzeri (turquoise killifish) is the source of this 4245-nucleotide non-coding RNA. Lineage: Eukaryota; Metazoa; Chordata; Actinopteri; Cyprinodontiformes; Nothobranchiidae. The record is from RefSeq and is a predicted model, not a curated record.
GGUCUUCUGUAUAGAAAGCAUGUUUUCAGGACUGAGGGUGCUUCCAUCAGUUAAUUAAAACACUGAUUUCAUGUAAACACGACACAGAUGACCCAGUCAUGUUCAGAUCUACAUAGAUAUAUAUCCAGUAGAUUUCUGAGGUUAGCAGCUGUCGCUCCUGCUAGCUUGCUGCUUCCCCGUCUCUGAUUGGCUCUGGCAUCACGUGUUUUCUUCAUUCUCACCGCUGCAACAGUGCGGUGUCGCUGUAAGUCAGUAACCCGUUUACCGUGCCUCUAACUCGCCCACAAGUGCUCAAGCACUAUUAACCACGAUGUGAAACACUGAAGCUAACGCUAACGUUAAACCCCCUGCUCCGCCAAAAUAAAAUACAAAAUCUUCUCGAACUAAAGGCACGUGAUGGGAGGGUCUUUGUCGACAUUUUCUUUGUGUUUAUGCGCGAGUGGCUGGGCGGCAAAAACAAACACUAAAUGGCCGUCAAUCACCAUCAAUACGCGACGUAAACUUUUAAGAGGGUUUGGGGGAAAAAUCCUUGAUAUUCAAACACGUUAGCGUCUAGAGACCGGCGGAGGUUUAGAGAGAAGCUUAAAGCCCGUGUGAGCUCUGGGACGACGAAAGGCAUCGGUCCCGUUUGCUGGUAGUUUCUCACUAAUCUGCUGGGGAGACAUUUACUGCUGUUCCUCAGAAAGCCCUGUGCUCUGGAUCAUAAAAGUAAAGGCUUUAAAGCAUCUGGAGGCCUACGAUUACUUUGUUUUACGGGAAGUAGAGCCGAGAACAGAAAGCCGUAGUCGUGCUAGGGCUGGGCGGUGUGGCCUAAAACCAGGGUCACCAUCUACUGAGGGUUUCACCUCGAUAACGAUGAAUAGUCGAUGACUACAGGUAUGCGCACAAACUAAAGUAGUCCACUAGAUGGCGCUGUCACGUGAUUUACAUGACUUAAGGUGGGACAGCUUCUUAAAGAGACACGAACGUUGCCAACCUACACAUCUUUUCAUUUUUUAUAGUCAACUGAUGAGUGAUCAGCGGUCGGAGCUGUUGCAGGUUGACCUUCAGCUGCGUUAGGUUCAAGCAGCUGGAAUGUGUGUGUUUUCCUUAGAAACACACAUCAGUGAGAGAUGUGACCGCCGUAGAUCUGGCUCUGUUGUGGAGGUUAUCUCUCAGAUCCAACCUCUCAAUGAGCUGCAGUGAGUUUCUGUGUGAACGACACACAGGUAAUCCUGUCACAGUUGUAAAAUAACCCUAAGAAGGCACUAUACAAAUACAGGCCAUUUACCAUUUACCAUACCCGGGAGGGGCUCUGUGUAGAGCCGCUGCUCAUCUGGGUUCUAAGGCAAAUUUUCCUUAUUGUGUGUAGCGAACCCAAAGGUGAAUUAUUUCAUCAAAAUGAACAGAAAUGAACUUUUUAGUUUGCAGACACAAACUGCGUCACACAUCCCGUCUGUCUGGCCUCCAAACGAGGUCUUGUCACCGGAUAAAGAGACAUAAUAAAACUAGCUGCCUUAUCGUGGCUGGAGCUAAAGUCACGCAGAAAACCAGACGAUCAGCUCUUUCACUCCAAAUAGAGUUCAUGUGUUCACUUCCUUAACUCAUAAACGGCUUUACAACUUUAUAGGUUGAUAUAAUCAAAUGUCGUGCAUGAACACGAUGUUUAAAUCCCAGAGUGUGUGAGUAAUGGGUGCUUUAAUCGGUGACGUGUUAAAAUGAAUGUUUUUCCUGCAAAGAUUCGUUUCAGAUCUAAACUACACCAGAUCAGUGUUUAAUCUAGCACUUUACUCACACACCAUAAGUUAUUAUUAAUGUUUAACGUUCACUUCACAAUAAGAGUCUCUGAGGGUCUGAGUGAGGGCGGGGUUUCGGAGCCAUUUUGUUAACACCUCUAAAAUGUGUCGUAUUCUGAUUUCCCAAAUUUAGAAACAAAAGUUGAUAAAAACAGGAAUCACUUCCUGAUCUGGUCAGUUCUCCCGCUGCAUCCCGGUUCGGCCCACCGGUGAACAGGCAUUAUGAGACCAUCCUGUCUUUUGACCUCAAGGUCAAAGCCUCUCUGCGACGCCUGUGAGUGAUUACAGACGCAGCGACCACUUUUAAGAGCCACCCAACACCUCAGAAGCAAAAUAGACACUCCAGCUUCCUGCCGUCACCUGGAGAUCACCCAAACUAGGCGGGUCGUACUCUGAGCUGCCUACCAGCGCCGCUACCAGAGGUCCACGCCAUCAGCAGUGUCCAUCUCGACCUCCUGACCCCCUGGAUCGCUUGGGGAUCUUCACACAAGGGUGCGUGGAUCGGCACAAAUUGUGUCGGACAAACUUUAGCUUAUCGAGCAUACAGCCAAACAGAGUUCAGCAGCCAGACGCCACACGCCCUCUCAGAUACGUAGAAAGGUUCUGCUAAAACAUCUAGCGUCUAUUCCAUCAGUUCAUCCAUCAUCUGCUGUCUGAACAACCAUCAGCUCAUUUGUCACGUACGGUCGUUUUUAUAACUGUAUUCUUGACUCUGGUUAGUAGGAAGUGGGUGGUCCCUGAAUAAGUCAAAGAACCUAACGUCUUCUGAUUAAACAUCCAAAGACCAAUCAGAUUCAUGCUUCAUGUUUAUACGUUAAAGUUAAAGUCCCAUUAGUUGUCACACACACAGGUGUGUGUGUGAAAUUUGUUCUCUGCAUGUGACCCAUCCCCUGGGGGAGCGGUGAGCUGCAGACACAGCCGAGCUCGGGAACCAUUUGGUGGUUUAACCCCCCAAUCCAACCCCUUAAUGCUGAGUGUCAAGCAGGGAGGCAUUGGGUCCCAUUUUUUCAAAGUCUUUGGUAUGACCCGACCAGGAAUCGAACCCUGAUCUCCCGGUCUCAGGGCGGACACUCUACCACUAGGCCACUGAGCUGAUCAUCCGGGGUGGUGCGCAGUGGUUAGAGCUGUUGCCUUGCAGCAAGAAGGUCCUGGGCUCGCUUCCCGGCCUGGGAUCUUUCUGCAUGUUCUCCCUGUGCAUGCGUGGGUUCUCUCCGGGUUCUCCGGCUUCCUCCCACAGUCCAAACUGCGAUGGACUGGCUCUCUGUCCAGGGUGUACCCCGCCUGGUUGCCCGUUGACUGCUGGAGAUAGGCACCAGCCCCCCCCCCCGGCCACCCUACGGAGGAAACUCAUUUCGGCCGCUUGUAUCCGUGAUCUCGUUCUUUCGGUCAUUACCCAAAGCUCAUGACCAUAGGUGAGGAUUGGGACGUAGAUCGACCGGUAAAUCGAGAGCCUGGCAUUCUGGCUCAGCUCCCUCUUCCCCACGACAGAUCGGCUCAGCGUCCGCAUCACUGCAGACGCCGAACCAAUCCGCCUGUCGAUCUCCCGAUCCCUCCUACCCUCACUCGUGAACAAGACCCCGAGAUACUUAAACUCCUCCACUUGAGGUAGGACCUCAGCCGUCAGGCUGAAGAAGGAGGCCUACAGGGCGUGGCUCGGAGUGUGUCACAUCUAAAACGGUCCGGGUGGAAACAGUUCUCUGUGCUUGGACACAUUCAGAUGGUUUCUUGCAUCGCCACGCCGGAUGAGCCGUGUCACCCAAACCCCCAUAAUCAGCUGGGCUGGCAGGUCAGCUGUUGCUGUGACCUUUACUUGUUUUUGAUGGCUGUUAGCUUCCUGCUGCUGUUCUGGAUUUAGUUGAGUUCAUGCGUCGCCACACAUCCUCAGUCAGCCCACUGCUGACGCUCUGUUUGUGGUUUCUUCUUGACUCACAUGAUGAGCAGAGGAACGGAAGUGAAACAGAGAGAGUUCCUGAGGAGCUGCAGGUCACAAGAGCUAACAUCAAACACACGAGCUUCCAUUUGGAUUUGAGUCAGAGUUCACCGGAGAUGAUGAGAAAACUCAGGAACGAUGGCGUUUUUCACAUUUACAUCAGAAACAUGCGGAGACCUUCAGUGAGGUAAAGAUGGCCGAACAGGUGCCUGACACAGGUGAGCCAUCAGCUGAUUAGAUGGAGACUGGACCGAACUUCCUGUAGAAACCUUCUAGUUCUGCCUCGCUCAUGCAGGCCUCGGGGAACCUCUGGGGUUAACGCACACACACACACACACACACUCACUGCUGGUGCACACACACACACACACACACACACGCACACACACACUCACUGCUGGUGCACACACACACACACACACACACACACACACACACACACUCACUGCUGGUGCACACACACACACACACACACACACACUCACUGCUGGUGCACACACACACACACACACACACACACACACACACACACACACUCAC